RNAcentral lists this ribosomal RNA (497 nucleotides) under uncultured bacterium. Its description in RNAcentral is "partial 16S ribosomal RNA". It matches the Rfam family "Bacterial small subunit ribosomal RNA", at positions 28 to 507 of the family's 1533-position model. The record is from RNAcentral.
GAUGAACGCUGGCGGCGUGCCUAAUACAUGCAAGUCGAGCGAACAGACGAGGAGCUUGCUCCUCUGACGUUAGCGGCGGACGGGUGAGUAACACGUGGAUAACCUACCUAUAAGACUGGGAUAACUUCGGGAAACCGGAGCUAAUACCGGAUAAUAUAUUGCACCGCAUGGUUCAAUAGUGAAAGACGGUUUUGCUGUCACUUAUAGAUGGAUCCGCGCCGCAUUAGCUAGUUGGUAAGGUAACUGCUUACCAAGGCAACGAUGCGUAGCCGACCUGAGAGGGUGAUCGGCUACCUUGGAACUGAGACACGGUCCAGACUCCUACGGGAGGCAGCAGUAGGGAAUCUUCCGCAAUGGGCGAAAGCCUGACGGAGCAACGCCGCGUGAGUGAUGAAGGUCUUCGGAUCGUAAAACUCUGUUAUUAGGGAAGAACAAAUGUGUAAGUAACUAUGCACGUCUUGACGGUACCUAAUCAGAAAGCCACGGCUAACUACGUG